Molecule: ribosomal RNA, 487 nt
Filed under: uncultured bacterium
Lineage: Bacteria
Description: partial 16S ribosomal RNA
Rfam family: Bacterial small subunit ribosomal RNA
Source: RNAcentral
GACGAACGCUGGCGGCGUGCCUAACACAUGCAAGUCGAACGAGGUCCAAGGGAGCUUGCUCCCUGAAGACCUAGUGGCGAACGGGUGAGUAACACGUGAGAAACCUGCCCUCGAGUGGGGAAUAACCCGGGGAAACCCGGGCUAAUACCGCAUACGCUCCUCUGGUCGCAUGGCCGGAGGAGGAAAGUUUUUCGCUCAAGGAGGGUCUCGCGGCCUAUCAGCUUGUUGGCGGGGUAACGGCCCACCAAGGCUACGACGGGUAGCUGGUUUGAGAGAACGAUCAGCCACACUGGGACUGAGACACGGCCCAGACUCCUACGGGAGGCAGCAGUGGGGAAUCUUGCGCAAUGGGCGAAAGCCUGACGCAGCAACGCCGCGUGCGGGAUGACGGCCUUCGUGGUUGUAACCGCUUUCAGCAGGGACGAAGCGCAAGUGACGGUACCUACAGAAGAAGGACCGGCCAACUACGUGCCAGCCGCCGCCGUAA